CGCGCGGACCGGGCCCCUCUGACGAUGGCUACCCCCUCGUGAUGUCGGACCGCACCG
Palleronia marisminoris is the source of this 57-nucleotide regulatory RNA element. It matches the Rfam family "terC RNA". The record is from Rfam. NCBI's taxonomy places the organism in Bacteria, Pseudomonadati, Pseudomonadota, Alphaproteobacteria, Rhodobacterales, Roseobacteraceae.